CAGGCCUAACAAUGCAAGUCGAACGGUAACAGGCCCUUCGGGGUGCUGACGAGUGGCGGAGGGUGAGUAAUGCUUGGGAAUCUGCCUAGUAGUGGGGGAUAACUCGGGGAACUCGAGCUAAUACCGCAUACGCCCUACGGGGGAAAGAUUUAUCGCUAUAGAUGAGCCCAAGUCAGAUUAGCUAGUUGGUAGGGUGGUGGCCUACCAGGCGACGAUCUGUAGCUGGUCUGAGAGGACGAACAGCCACACUGGGACUAGACACGGCCCAGACUCCUACGGGAGGCAGCAGUGGGGAAUAUUGGACAUGGGCGAAAGCCUGAUCCAGCAAUGCCGCGUGUGUGAAGAAGGCCUGCGGUUGUAAAGCACUUUCAGUUGGGAAGAUUAUGACGUUACCAACAGAAGAGCACCGGCUAACUCCGUGCCAGCAGCCGCGGUAAU
Molecule: ribosomal RNA, 438 nt
Filed under: uncultured bacterium
Lineage: Bacteria
Description: bacterial SSU rRNA
Rfam family: Bacterial small subunit ribosomal RNA
Source: RNAcentral